RNAcentral lists this ribosomal RNA (500 nucleotides) under uncultured marine eukaryote. RNAcentral's name for it is "SSU rRNA". It matches the Rfam family "Eukaryotic small subunit ribosomal RNA", at positions 619 to 1120 of the family's 1831-position model. The record is from RNAcentral.
UUAGAACGCUCGUAGUCGGAUUUCGGGGCGGGGCGACCGGUCUGCCGAUGGGUACGCACUGGCCGCCGCGUCCUUCCUUCCGGAGACCGCUCCUGUUCUUAACUGAAUGGGUGCGGGAGACGGAUCGUUUACUUUGAAAAAAUCAGAGUGUUUCAAGCAGGCAGCUCGCUCUUGCAUGGAUUAGCAUGGGAUAAUGAAAUAGGACUUUGGUGCUAUUUUGUUGGUUUCGAACACCGAAGUAAUGAUUAAAAGGGACAGUCAGGGGCACUCGUAUUCCGCCGAGAGAGGUGAAAUUCUCAGACCAGCGGAAGACGAACCACUGCGAGAGCAUUUGCCAGGGAUGUUUUCACUGAUCAAGGAACGAAAGUUAGGGGAUCGAAGGAGGAUCAGAUACCCUCGUAGUCUUAACCAUAAACCAUGCCGACUAGGGAUUGGGGGAUGUUCACUUUUGACUCCCUCAGCACCUUACGGGGAAACUAAAGUCUUUGGGGUUCCGGGGG